CAACGGAUAUCUCGGCUCUCGCAUCGAUGAAGAACGUAGCGAAAUGCGAUACUUGGUGUGAAUUGCAGAAUCCCGUGAACCAUCGAGUCUUUGAACGCAAGUUGCGCCCGAAGCCAUUUGGCCUAGGGCACGUCUGCCUGGGCGUCACGUACAACGUCGCUUCCCCA
RNAcentral lists this ribosomal RNA (167 nucleotides) under Itea ilicifolia. RNAcentral's name for it is "5.8S ribosomal RNA". The stretch from base 1 to 147 matches the Rfam family "5.8S ribosomal RNA". From Rfam's summary of the family: 5.8S ribosomal RNA (5.8S rRNA) is a component of the large subunit of the eukaryotic ribosome. It is transcribed by RNA polymerase I as part of the 45S precursor that also contains 18S and 28S rRNA. Lineage: Eukaryota; Viridiplantae; Streptophyta; Magnoliopsida; Saxifragales; Iteaceae. The record is from RNAcentral.